UACGGAGGGUGCGAGCGUUGUCCGGAAUCACUGGGCGUAAAGGGCGCGUAGGCGGCAUGCCAAGCGUGUGGUGAAAGCCCGGGGCUCAACCCCGGGUCGGCCGUGCGGACUGGCGUGCUCGAGCACUGUAGGGGCGGGUGGAAUUCCGGGUGUAGCGGUGGAAUGCGUAGAGAUCCGGAAGAACAUCGGUGGCGAAGGCGCUCUGCUGGACCAUAACUGACACUCAGGGACGAAAGCUAGGGGAGCGAAUGGG
RNAcentral lists this ribosomal RNA (253 nucleotides) under uncultured bacterium. RNAcentral describes it as "partial 16S ribosomal RNA". It matches the Rfam family "Bacterial small subunit ribosomal RNA", at positions 524 to 776 of the family's 1533-position model. The record is from RNAcentral.